GCGGACGUGGCGGAAUCGGUAGACGCAACGGACUUAAAAUCCGUUGGCCGCAAGGCCGUGAGGGUUCGAGUCCCUCCGCCCGCACCA
This 87-nucleotide transfer RNA is filed under the name Alphaproteobacteria bacterium. RNAcentral describes it as "tRNA-Leu". It matches the Rfam family "tRNA". Rfam says of the family: Transfer RNA (tRNA) molecules are approximately 80 nucleotides in length. Their secondary structure includes four short double-helical elements and three loops (D, anti-codon, and T loops). The record is from RNAcentral. Lineage: Bacteria; Pseudomonadati; Pseudomonadota; Alphaproteobacteria.